UCAUUACAGUAUACCCUAAUUUCCUUGAACACUCUAUGAGUGUCUGCUCAAAUCGGGUAGUUCCUACUCGAGAGCAUCCGGCCGAUGGCUGUACAAGGUAGAGCGCAUCAGUUCUAUCAUUGCGGGCUUUUGCCCCCCUGCGGCCGAUGGCUGUACAASGUGGAGCACAUUCAGUUCUAUCAUUUUGCNGGCUUUUGCCCCCCUGCGGCCGAUGGCUGUACAAGAUGGACGCUUUAGUUCUAUCAGGGGGCUGUACCUGGUAUGUAUUGUAUCUACGUACAGUCGAUGUAACGGCAGGGUGCCUACCCGUCUGAAGCUCUUUCGGUGUGCUAAUGGUUUUCGAAUUGUUAGUCCAUACCUGGGGUGACGGGCUGUGCUGUCUUUCGGGCAGUGCUAGGCUUAAAGAGUGGUGGUGGCCACGGCUUAUCCUCCGCCCUGCUUGAAUCUGUUUCCCAUCAUUUUACACUGUUUAAGUGGUUCAUGCUUCGGUGUGGAUCAUUGACCCGACAUGCACCCAGCCUCGUGCUGGACUGUAUGUGCAGUCGCCUGGCGGUGCCUUAUCCCGGGCUGGACUUGCUAAUUAUACAUCGUGCAACUGGGUGACUGGUUGUGCGRGGUGA
This 620-nucleotide unclassified non-coding RNA is filed under the name Opechona bacillaris. RNAcentral describes it as "Internal transcribed spacer 1 (ITS1) of ribosomal DNA". The record is from RNAcentral. Lineage: Eukaryota; Metazoa; Platyhelminthes; Trematoda; Plagiorchiida; Lepocreadiidae.